RNAcentral lists this unclassified non-coding RNA (214 nucleotides) under uncultured fungus. RNAcentral's name for it is "sequence contains ITS1, 5.8S rRNA gene". The stretch from base 166 to 214 matches the Rfam family "5.8S ribosomal RNA", at positions 1 to 49 of the family's 154-position model. The record is from RNAcentral. Lineage: Eukaryota; Fungi.
UCUCCGUUGGUGAACCAGCGGAGGGAUCAUUACCGAGUUAUCACAACUCCAAACCCAUGUGAAUCAUACCUUUUGUUGCCUCGGCGGUUCUCUCGUAGGCCGCCGGUGGACACCCAAACUCUUUUGCAAUUAUGUCAAUCUGAGUAGACUAUAUAAAUAAGUCAAAACUUUCAACAACGGAUCUCUUGGUUCUGGCAUCGAUGAAGAACGCAGC